RNAcentral lists this ribosomal RNA (439 nucleotides) under uncultured bacterium. RNAcentral's name for it is "bacterial SSU rRNA". It matches the Rfam family "Bacterial small subunit ribosomal RNA", at positions 36 to 507 of the family's 1533-position model. The record is from RNAcentral.
AUAUUGGAAUCUAGUGAUUUAUUUACUAACUUCCAGCUUCUAACCUCUAAUAUCUAAUCGUUAGUGGCGGACGGUGAGUAACACGUUGGAACCUGCCCAAGUAGGAUAGCCACGAAGGUGGUCUAAUACCUUAUAGUAUCCAUCUCGUAUGGAUUAAAGCUUUAUGCGCUUUGGGAGGGGCCUGCGUUUGAUUAGCUAGUUGGUGAGGUAAAAGCUCACCAAGGCGACGAUCAAUAGCUGGUUUGAGAGGAUGACCAGCCACACUGGGACUGAGAUACGGCCCAGACUCCUACGGGAGGCAGCAGUAAGGAAUCUUCCACAAUGGGGCAACCCUGAUGGAGCAAUACCGCGUGCAGGAUGAAGCGUUUCGGCGUGUAAACUGCUUUUAUCACCGAAGAUUAUGACUGUAGGUGAAGAAUAAGGACCGGCUAACUACGUG